RNAcentral lists this ribosomal RNA (506 nucleotides) under uncultured bacterium. RNAcentral's name for it is "partial 16S ribosomal RNA". It matches the Rfam family "Bacterial small subunit ribosomal RNA", at positions 29 to 523 of the family's 1533-position model. The record is from RNAcentral.
AGUGAACGCUGGCGGUAGGCCUAACACAUGCAAGUCGAACGGCAGCACAGGAGAGCUUGCUCUCUGGGUGGCGAGUGGCGGACGGGUGAGGAAUACAUCGGAAUCUACUCUGUCGUGAGGGAUAACGUAGGGAAACUUACGCUAAUACCGCAUACGACCUACGGGUGAAAGCAGGGGAUCUUCGGACCUUGCGCGAUUGAAUGAGCCGAUGUCGGAUUAGCUAGUUGGCGGGGUAAAGGCCCACCAAGGCGACGGUCCGUAGCUGGUCUGAGAGGAUGAUCAGCCACACUGGAACUGAGACACGGUCCAGACUCCUACGGGAGGCAGCAGUGGAGAAUAUUGGACAAUGGGCGCAAGCCUGAUCCAGCCAUACCGCGUGGGUGAAGAAGGCCUUCGGGUUGUAAAGCCCUUUUGUUGGGAAAGAAAUCCAGCUGGCUAAUACCCGGUUGGGAUGACGGUACCCAAAGAAUAAGCACCGGCUAACUUCGUGCCAGCAGCCGCAGUAA